Molecule: ribosomal RNA, 374 nt
Filed under: uncultured organism
Description: bacterial SSU rRNA
Rfam family: Bacterial small subunit ribosomal RNA
Source: RNAcentral
CGGGGGGAGCAAGCGUUGUUCGGAUUUACUGGGCGUAAAGGGCGCGUAGGCGGCCACCGCAAGUCGACUGUGAAAUCUCUGGGCUUAACCCAGAACGGUCAGCCGAUACUGCGGGGCUAGAGUGCAGAAGGGGCAACUGGAAUUCUCGGUGUAGCGGUGAAAUGCGUAGAUAUCGAGAGGAACACCUGCGGCGAAGGCGGGUUGCUGGGCUGACACUGACGCUGAGGCGCGAAAGCUAGGGGAGCGAACGGGAUUAGAUACCCCGGUAGUCCUAGCCUUAAACGAUGAAUGCUUGGUGUCUGGGGUUUUAUAGUACCCGGGUGCCGUCGCUAACGCUUUAAGCAUUCCGCCUGGGGAGUACGGUCGCAAGACUG